RNAcentral lists this unclassified non-coding RNA (456 nucleotides) under Hevea brasiliensis (rubber tree). Lineage: Eukaryota; Viridiplantae; Streptophyta; Magnoliopsida; Malpighiales; Euphorbiaceae. The record is from RNAcentral.
CAAUCAAAUCAUAGAAACUAGGAAAAAAAUUUGGAACCAAAACAAGCAACUAUCCACUGAGAGUUUAAAUCUUUUGCACCAAGUAAUGAGACAGCUGAUUCAACAACCACAAAAUAUACAGAAAAUAACCAUGAGUAUAAUCACAAUAAACUUACAAUACUUUGUAAAUGAAUGGCAGAAAUAAGAAAUUUGACAGGCAAUGCAUUUAUCUUCAAAGAAAAAAAUCAUAAGGAGAAGAAAUGAGUGAAUAUUAAUGCUUAAAGAACUAGGUUGUUUUGCAUCAAGAUUUUUCUCAUCUGAAUUGGGAAGAUCUUAACUACUAUGAAAUUAACCAAUAUUCUCAACUCUGAAGAAAAAAAGGAAAAUAUAACAAAAAUGACCAUCCAUUAGACCUGAAACAGUUGAGACAUCAAAUUAGAGUCACUCCGAAUAUGUUGUUGGAAAGCCUCAGGAUUC